CACGUGGGCAACCUGCCUGUAAGACUGGGAUAACUUCGGGAAACCGAAGCUAAUACCGGAUAGGAUCUUCUCCUUCAUGGGAGAUGAUUGAAAGAUGGUUUCGGCUAUCACUUACAGAUGGGCCCGCGGUGCAUUAGCUAGUUGGUGAGGUAACGGCUCACCAAGGCAACGAUGCAUAGCCGACCUGAGAGGGUGAUCGGCCACACUGGGACUGAGACACGGCCCAGACUCCUACGGGAGGCAGCAGUAGGGAAUCUUCCGCAAUGGACGAAAGUCUGACGGAGCAACGCCGCGUGAGUGAUGAAGGCUUUCGGGUCGUAAAACUCUGUUGUUAGGGAAGAACAAGUACGAGAGUAACUGCUCGUACCUUGACGGUACCUAACCAGAAAGCCACGGCUAACUACGUGCCAGCAGCCGCGGUAAUACGUAGGUGGCAAGCGUUAUCCGGAAUUAUUGGGCGUAAAGCGCGCGCAGGCGGUUUCUUAAGUCUGAUGUGAAAGCCCACGGCUCAACCGUGGAGGGUCAUUGGAAACUGGGGAACUUGAGUGCAG
This 551-nucleotide ribosomal RNA is filed under the name uncultured bacterium. RNAcentral's name for it is "bacterial SSU rRNA". It matches the Rfam family "Bacterial small subunit ribosomal RNA", at positions 114 to 651 of the family's 1533-position model. The record is from RNAcentral.